AAUACUUCCAUCUAAACUCCACUGGAUCUCUGAAUGCCGAGACGCUAUCCCAACUUGCAACACCUCGGUGCGGUAAUCCAGAUAUCCUUAAUGAAGCCACUGGUCGAAUGCUAUUAGAAAACAACAACAACGAUAGUAGUCACGAUCACUACCACCAACUCUCCCAUGCUGUACCACACUACAGUUUCUUCCCAGGAAGGCCUAGGUGGCCACCUACCAAAUAUCACUUAACAUAUGAGUUUCUUCCCAACACUCAUGCAGACGCAAAAGCACCGGUGACACGAGCGUUCGCAACAUGGGCUCG
This 304-nucleotide long non-coding RNA is filed under the name Cucumis sativus (cucumber). RNAcentral's name for it is "long non-coding RNA (CSAT_LNC000439)". Lineage: Eukaryota; Viridiplantae; Streptophyta; Magnoliopsida; Cucurbitales; Cucurbitaceae. The record is from RNAcentral.